GGAUCAAUAGCUCAAAUGGAUAGAGCAAUACCCUGUCGAGGUAUAGGUUGUCGGAUCAUACCCGAUUUGGUCCG
RNAcentral lists this transfer RNA (74 nucleotides) under Candidatus Omnitrophota bacterium. Its description in RNAcentral is "tRNA-Asp". It matches the Rfam family "tRNA". Rfam says of the family: Transfer RNA (tRNA) molecules are approximately 80 nucleotides in length. Their secondary structure includes four short double-helical elements and three loops (D, anti-codon, and T loops). The record is from RNAcentral. Lineage: Bacteria; Pseudomonadati; Candidatus Omnitrophota.